GGGGGAGGUGACAGAGAGAAAGACAUACAGUGAGAGAGAGAAAGACAGAGAGAGAGAGAGAGAGAGAGAGGGGGGGAGGUGACAGAGAGAAAGACAUACAGUGAGAGAGAGAAAGACCGAGAGAGAGAGGGGGGGGGAGGUGACAGAGAGAAAGACAGAGAGAGAGAGAGAGAGAGAGAGAGGGGGAGGUGACAGAGAGAAAGACAUACAGUGAGAGAGAGAAAGACAGAGAGAGAGAGAGAGAGGGGGAGGGAGGUGACAGAGAGAAAGACAUACAGUGAGAGAGAGAAAGACCGAGAGAGAGAGAGAGGGGGAGGUGACAGAGAGAAAGACAUACAGUGAGAGAGAAAGACCGAGAGAGAGAGAGAGAGGGGGAGGGGGAGGUGACAGAGAGAAAGACAUACAGUGAGAGAGAGAAAGACCGAGAGAGAGAGAGAGGGGGAGGUGACAGAGAGAAAGACAGACAGAGAGAGAGAGACAGAGAGAGAGAGAGAGGACAGAGAGAAAGACAUACAGUGACAGAGAGAAAGAGAGAGAGAGAGAGAGAGAGAGAGAGAGGGGGGUGACAGAGAGAAAGACAUACAGUGAGAGAGAGAAAGACCAAGAGAGAGAGAGAGGGGGGAGGUGACAGAGAGAAAGACAUACAGUGAGAGAGAGAAAGACAGAGAGAGAGAGAGAGAGAGAGAGAGAGAGGAGGUGACAGAGAGAAAGACAUACAGUGA
Molecule: long non-coding RNA, 722 nt
Organism: Oncorhynchus tshawytscha (Chinook salmon)
Lineage: Eukaryota; Metazoa; Chordata; Actinopteri; Salmoniformes; Salmonidae
Source: Ensembl